CAAGUCGAGCGGAAAGGCCCUUCGGGGUACUCGAGCGGCGAACGGGUGAGUAACACGUGAGCAACCUGCCCUAGGCUUUGGGAUAACCCUCGGAAACGGGGGCUAAUACCGAAUAUGACCUCGCAUCGCAUGGUGUGUGGUGGAAAGUUUUUCGGCCUGGGAUGGGCUCGCGGCCUAUCAGCUUGUUGGUGGGGUGAUGGCCUACCAAGGCGACGACGGGUAGCCGGCCUGAGAGGGCGACCGGCCACACUGGGACUGAGACACGGCCCAGACUCCUACGGGAGGCAGCAGUGGGGAAUAUUGCACAAUGGGCGGAAGCCUGAUGCAGCGACGCCGCGUGAGGGAUGACGGCCUUCGGGUUGUAAACCUCUUUCAGCAGGGACGAAGCGUAAGUGACGGUACCUGCAGAAGAAGCGCCGGCCAACUACGUGCCAGCAGCCGCGGUAAGACGUAGGGCGCGAGCGUUGUCCGGAUUUAUUGGGCGUAAAGAGCUCGUAGGCGGCUUGUCGCGUCGACCGUGAAAACCUGGGGCUCAACCCCAGGCCUGCGGUCGAUACGGGCAGGCUAGAGUUCGGUAGGGGAGACUGGAAUUCCUGGUGUAGCGGUGAAAUGCGCAGAUAUCAGGAGGAACACCGGUGGCGAAGGCGGGUCUCUGGGCCGAUACUGACGC
Molecule: ribosomal RNA, 670 nt
Filed under: Micromonospora sp. 205
Lineage: Bacteria; Bacillati; Actinomycetota; Actinomycetes; Micromonosporales; Micromonosporaceae
Description: bacterial SSU rRNA
Rfam family: Bacterial small subunit ribosomal RNA
Source: RNAcentral